UCUCUCCUUCUCUCUAUCUCCCCACAGAGGAUGAGGUGUUUGAGCUGUGCCUGGGUCUUCAGACUCUGCAGGAAAUCAAAUGCUGUGUGGACCUGAGCAGUAGAGUCCUAAAGCUCCAGGGCUCAGGGGAGGAGCUGCCUUUCCUGGAGCCGCCAUUGGUCAGCCAGUACCAUCACCAAGACAGCAAUGAGAACCUGUGACCCUGGCGGGUCACAACCUCCCAGCCGUCCCACACCCUUCUCUGAUUGGCUGGCGCUGUAAAAACAUGAUGCAGUCUGGGUCUGGACUGUCCAACCAGUGUCUCGCACUGCCAGCAACAUGGUUGAGCACCCCAAUUCUCUUCAGUUUACACCAUUGUGUUUGUUUCUGUGGAAUUAAGGCAUUACCAUGAUGUUACUGCUGUAUUGACUUAGCCUAGUUUAUGUUUACGGAUGGAGCUCAAGAUUUGGGACGAUUCUAUGUAACAAUCUUCAUAAUUAUCUACUUAAUCAAGGUGUUUUUUUAUGUCAGACAGUGCAUCAUUGUUCAAUACACUCUUGGAAAAAAAGGAAUCCAAAAGGGUUAUUUGGCUGUCCCCAUAGGAGAACCCUUUCUGGUUCCAGGUAGAACUCUUUUGUGUUCCAUGUAGAAUCCUCUUUGUAAAGAGUUCUACAUCGAUCUCAAAAGGGUUCUACCUGGAACCAAAAAGGGUUCUUCAAAAAGUCAUUUUUUCUAAGAGUCUACUGAAACAUACUGAGGAGUCAGACGAUGAUUAUCAUUUGAAAUGAACAUAUUGUGAUUUGGAAGUAUAAAAUAAUUUACGUUGAUCAUCAAUUAAAUGCCCAAACUGUUUAAAAUCAAAA
Molecule: non-coding RNA, 842 nt
Organism: Salvelinus sp. IW2-2015
Lineage: Eukaryota; Metazoa; Chordata; Actinopteri; Salmoniformes; Salmonidae
Source: RefSeq, a predicted model, not a curated record